Small nuclear RNA from Nomascus leucogenys (northern white-cheeked gibbon), 107 nucleotides. The record is from Ensembl. NCBI's taxonomy places the organism in Eukaryota, Metazoa, Chordata, Mammalia, Primates, Hylobatidae.
GUGCUCGCUUCGGCAGCACAUAUACUAAAAUUGGAACAAUAUAGAGAAGAUUAGCAUGGCCCCUGUGUAAGGAUGACAUGCAAAUUUGUGAAGCGUUCCAUAUUUAA